AUACGGAGGAUGCAAGCGUUAUCCGGAUUUAUUGGGUUUAAAGGGUGCGUAGGCGGAAAAUUAAGUCAGUAAUGAAAUCCUACAGCUUAACUGUAGAAUUGUUAUUGAUACUGGUUUUCUUGAAUACAGUUGAGGCAGGCGGAAUGUGUAAUGUAGCGGUGAAAUGCUUAGAUAUUACACAGAACACCGAUUGCGAAGGCAGCUUGCUAAACUGUGAUUGACGCUGAGGCACGAAAGCGUGGGGAUCAAACAGGAUUAGAUACCCUGGUAGUCCACGCUGUAAACUAUGAUCACUCGCUGUUGGCGAUAUAUUGUCAGUGGCUGAGCAAAAGCAUUAAGUGAUCCACCUGGGGAGUACGAUCGCAAGAUUGAA
Molecule: ribosomal RNA, 373 nt
Filed under: uncultured bacterium
Lineage: Bacteria
Description: bacterial SSU rRNA
Rfam family: Bacterial small subunit ribosomal RNA
Source: RNAcentral